CUCCAUGUCGUUUAUAUAAUUAAGAAUAGUUUUUAGAAAAAUGGACUUUAUUAAAACCUUCGGAUCCUACUGAUCCUUUAGAAAAUAAGUUUGGAAAUCAUCAAAGCAUUUUUCUUUCUUCAAAACAUAACCCACAUUUGAAAGAUAUAAUUUUCAUAAAGAGUGCUACUUCAACAUAGACGGGGUUUUAAAGCAAUACUUGUAAUACAGCGGAACACAAAAUAACUUUAUUUUACAUACACCCCGGUUUAAUAGACUAGAUUCCUAAAUAGAGUACAUUAUAAUUACAACUAUAAACUUCUCAAGUUAAAGCACUUAAAAAGAAAGUGACUAAUAGAAUCUUUGAAAAUAGUCGGUUGAUAUAAAAGCUCGUGAUUCCUCGAACUCCGCUCCACCAGUUUCCAUAACCGCUUCGAGCACCUCAACCUUGACAUGGGCGAAGAGUUUUCCCCUGCUUCACGUAUACUCACAAGGUGUACUCACACAAACAAAAUAUUGCAUUCACAUGGGGAUACAACGACCAAUUAGCUGUAGUACAUAUAGACAUCAAGUCCCUAUAGUCUGUAUUAACAUAUAUAACACAAAUGCAAUAUGACGGGAUACCUAUCAGAUUCAUAACAUGGUUAUCGGUAAUAGACGUCGAUAUUCUGAGCCCGUUUAUUUAUGGAAGCUAUCCACUCUAUAGUCUAUAGUACCGUAGUUGGAAUACCGGCCCCUCCGUAUUUCCGUGUCUACUCGACCGAUAGCCAUUUAAGAUUCUGACUUCCUAUACUGACCAUGCAAUAUCAUAAAUGACAAAUCAUACAAACAAUUCAAAACGUAUAAACAAACAUACUCAUACUUAUGUCAAUACAAUUACUAUAAUGUGACGGUAUCCCUAUCAGAUUCAUAACAUGGUUAUCGGUAAUAGACGUCGAUAUUCUGAGCCUGUUUUGAGGGGAGCUACCCACUCUAGUCUAUAGUACCGUAGUUGGAAUACUGGCCCCUCGUAUUCCCGUGUUUACUCGACCGAUAACCAUAUUAAGAUUCUGACGUUCCUAUACUUGCUCAUGCAAUACCAUAAAUGACAAAUCAUUCAACUCCAAUAAUAUAACCAUGUUAGAUCGAACUUGCACUUAGCAUAAAACACGUAACCAUAUAACACAUAACCAAAUAGCUAACAAACAUAUUCAAAACAUUUUCUCCCUUAGAGUUGAUUCUUCAAAUAACUCACAUAAUCAAUUCAAAUUGCAUAAAUAAACAUUCUUAUAACUCACAUAUAUUAUGCAACGUACACGUACCAUAUACAAGAGGUAUCACAUACAAGAGAAGGGGAUUAUCAUAUUAUUUCAUAUAACCACUUUCAUAGUUAUAACAUACCAAAGUGAUUAUCUUAAAUGCAUCAUUCAUGCGUUUCCUAAGCUAUACAUUUAUGUGAACAUAUAAGCAUACGAUAAUCAUAAUAGCACAUACGCACAUAAUAUAUGAAAUCCGAAUCCACAUAUUCUAUUCCAAAGAACUACAAGGAAAUCUGGCAGAUUCGGUACUUCAACUUUGGAAAUUCAUAUCUCUUAAACCGUACAUACAAACCUUAUGAAAUUAUCACACAACGUUCCCAUAUUAGAGAAUUAUAUCAUAUCAAAACAGUGCAGUAAAAUACCUAUCCAUGAGAGAGGAAUAAUUAAUUUAGUACAGCAACAGCAGCAGAAUUUUAGAACAGAGUAUUCAACUUUGAAAAUAUCAAAUAGAUCAUUCUUUCAACGAAACACCAUGAAAUUUCACGAAGAAUCAGAUUUAUAAGUCUAUAAUCAUAUCCAGUUGGAAUCGCAUGAAUCAGAACAAGGUAAAAUCUAAUUUAACACAUAAUUCAUAGAUGACUCAGAAAUCGUGCAGUUUCAGAAAACCGUUCAUAACUUGAUCAAUAAAAUUCCGAUUUAUGCAUACCAUAUAUCAAAACGAAGCUAACAGAAACAUGUACACGCACAAUUAAUUUCAUAAUUUUCGUAAAAUAAAUCAUCGAUGAAACAUGCACUGAAAUCUGUAGGUUACGAAUCUGGAAAUCGAAUUGGGGUUCAUUGAAAUCUAUAUUUCAUGACCUAGAUCCCUAAAUCCGAUUCCUAAGCAUAUUAAUCAAUUAAAACACAUAAACAUCAUCUUAUUAUUAUCAUUAAUUCAGUAAAGACCAAAAGUCCUUACCUCUUUGAAGAAAAAUCGAAGACAAAGGGAAAGAGUAAACCGAAGGAUUCUUGGAACCUUUGGCUUGAAGACUUUUGGGGCUGAACUUGGAGGCUAUCGAGUGCCCGAUCUUCUUGCUAGUGUGGGGGAUUUUAUAGGGAAAUUAAUCCCAUUAAUUAGAUAUGAAACUUCCCGGAGAAGAAGGGAAAUUUGAUGAGUUCUCAUUGAAUCUGCCUGGGUGAGGCUGCCGAUGGAUGAGAGGAAGAAGAGUGAAGACCCAAAUUCCCCCGUUCCUUCUCGGAACUCCCGUCGGGAAAAUAGAGAAGGAAAGAGGAGGAAUCUUCCUUGGCUUAUACUAGGAAAUUAGGAGGAAGUUUCCCAAGGGCUAUUGUGCAAUAUUUAAAACCAUGGGGGUCCUAAUAGCAAUUCAGAAAAUAUGUUGUACACUAGACUACAUACUCUAAACAUGCAUAUACGGCACAUACAUGGCAAUCAUACACAAAUCAUAAUACAUGUAUCUAUAACAAUUAGAGAUUAAUACAUAGAUUAAUUACUACAUCUUAACUCAUGUAGCAUAUAUAUAUAUACACAAUAUUCAUAUAUGCAUCCACAUUCAUUAAACCAUAAAUCGUAAAACAAUUAAAGAUACAUUGCAUAGAUUAAUUAUUCAUUUUAAACACAUGAUGCAUUUAAUCACAUAAAUAGAAUUACUUAAUCAUUCAAUCAAAUCGAGUUGAUCGCACAUUGCUCAUAUAUAGACAUAACCUAAAAUAGCACAGUACAUAUAAACCACGUAAUCAUUUAGGGUACGCAAAAGUUACUAAUUAAUUCAUGAAUUGGAAAUUAUCGAUUUACUCAAUAUAAUUUCAUAUAAUAUGCUUAUGAAAAUGCGGGGCGUUACAAUCUUCCCCCCUUAAAAUAAAUUUUGUCCUCAAAAUUUGAAAAAUUCUCCAUAAAAGAUGAUGAUACCGAGUUAUGACAAAAAUCCUUUUCUACCCAUGAUUGGGUAAAUUUCAUUUUGAUCGAGGUUACCAAAUAAUUUGAAAAAUAGUUCCUCAACUCUUGGCAAGAGUCAUUUCAUGACUAAAAUCUGAAACAUGCAUUUCGUAAAAGAUUCUUUAAAAGAAAUUUUGAAAAGAGCCUUAGCAUGAGUAUCAUUACUCGAGGAAAAUCGAAAUCGAGUCUCAGUGAGACAUCCAAAUUUUCUGGAAUAAAAUUCAAUUUAGAAAUACCCUUUAACAGUUAAAAUUCUCUUGCCCUCACAAAAACAUUUUGCCGCAUGGUACCCCUGGAUGCAUAUUAAUCAUGCUUAGUCCUAAGUCCUAAUAUGCACAUAAGAUUCACAUAAACAAUUUGUAAUGUAUGGCAUCACCAAUCAAUAAAAUGCAUCACAUAGUUUAACUCAGAUAGGUUUCAUCAUAUCAUAUAUCGUUGAUUCAUUAACCUUUAAUAACGAGAAUUAGGACAUGCUACAAUCUCUUCAAGUCACAUAAAUAGAUAAUCACCUACACAUAAAUUGCACAUAAAACCAAAGCUAGAACAUAAUUUCAAAACUUAAGGAUAUGAAUUGCAUACCUCCAAUUUCUGCUGAGUACAAUUUGACAAUGGGUUUGAGUCAGUGAUUGGAAAACUUCCUUUUCUCGAUCUUGAUUCCCGUAGAAUUUCUGUAACUGUGGGCCUAGUUGAAGUGAAGAGAUUUGAAUUCCUACUGAUAUCGUAGAAUUCCUUAUCCAAGUUAGGUACUAUAUGAACAAGCCUGAGAAAACCCCUGUAUAGCUUCUUCGAUUUCGCGAUAAAGAUAAAUAUGACCAACAGUGGUUCGAAUGUAUAUAAAAGAACUUUUUUUUUUUUUUUUUUUUAUACUUCUUACUAGCUUUUAUUCUUUAAAACUCAAAGUUUCGUAAGAAAUCAAUUUUUUUCAAUCCAUUCGAGCAUUUCAAAUAACUCGAAGACGGUUUUACAAGUAUCCUCUUAUAAAAAUAAUCUUGACCAUGUAGAGGCAUCACAAUAGUCAAUCAAGUAAAAUGAAAUGAAAGCUGAAAUAUGUCAGUAGUUUCAAAGACUUUAUUAAAAUCCAAAUUUGGUACUCAAGUUCCGAAAUCGAAACCUUUGAGCCCUUAAACUUCAUAAUUAAACCAUUCUCCCCAUAUUUUAUACUCUUAAAAGAGUCCUCAGUCAUUCAAUAACAAGUUCAUAGAUUUACAAUUACCACACCAUUCAAACAUACAAUAGCAUCAAGUAAAUACUCAAAUCAUAACCUUUCGUUCAAUGAUACAUAACAUAGCAUGAGACAAUUCAGGAAAUUCGAGACAUUGAACACAUAAAAAUCCACAUAGUUAAUUCCUAAAGUCCCGUACUUCAAAUUAGAGAUAAUUAAGUAACGACAUAAUUUAAUCACGUAGUUCGAACUCAUAUAAUCAAAGAUUAGCACAUACUUUUACGAUCACAUAAAAAUCCACAUAAUCCGAUUCAAGAGAUAGGAUAGUUAAUUUCUAAAGCCUCAUAAUCCGAUUCAAUAUAAUUUAAGCAUGUAGUUCGAACUCAUAAAAUCAAAGAUUACCACACUCUACUCUUAUGAUCACAUAAAAAUUCACAUAACUCGAUUCAAGAGAUAGGAUAGUAAAUUCCUAAAGUCGUAUGCCUCGAAUCAAGGAUAAUCAAGUAACAACACAAUUAAUUCACUCGAGUUCAUAAAAUCAAAGAUUAACACAAUCUACUCUUAUGGUCACAUAAAUAGAUUUGAGCAUAUUAACCAGGAAUUAAUUCUCAUCAAAUAAACAUACAAGCGAGAAGCUAUAAAAUACUCAAGUUUUGACAUAUAUCAAGCAUACAAGCCUCAUGUUAAAUAUCACCCAAAGCAUAAACAUGAAUUCUAUAAUUCAAUUUAAAAGAAAGAGCAUAUAAUACUCUACCCAAUCCACAUAAUUCGGACUCAAGCGAUCAGCCAAUUAAUUUCUAAAAUCAAAUAGAUCGAAUUAAAGUAAUAAAGGAAUAGUAUAGUUCGAAUUCUACAUAACUAAGGAUUAGCACAAUCGACCAUCAUGAUCAUAUAAUUUAACUCAAGUUUACUAUCAAGAGAUAAGAUUAAAUAAAUUAGUCAUAUAAAUGUCAAUCCAAUGAGAUGUUUAAGAUCCCAACAUAUACGAAGCACGCCCAUUUAAACAAACUCUCAACAAUUGUAAAUUUGAAAGAAAGGACAUAUCAUACCUUACUAAAUUCAGUUUUACUUCAAGCAUCACAUAAUAUGAACUACCCUUUAUAUCACAUAGUGCAAGUGUAUAUAUAUAACUUACUAAGAUCAACUAAACAUAUCACAAUCGAAUAUAAAGACAAGUCUAUAUAAAAUUCCAAUUCUCUACUUCAAAUAUUAGAUCAGACCAUUUCGAACAACAAUAAAUCUAACCUCGUAUUACGGCCAGGAGCUGGAGGAGAGAUCACGAAUGCCUUCGACCAUAAUCAGGAAUCCAGUAUAUUAAACACUGCUCUGAUACCAACUUGUAACACCCUCCAUGUCGUUUAUAUAAUUAAGAAUAGUUUUUAGAAAAAUGGACUUUAUUAAAACCUUCGGAUCCUACUGAUCCUUUAGAAAAUAAGUUUGGAAAUCAUCAAAGCAUUUUUCUUUCUUCAAAACAUAACCCACAUUUGAAAGAUAUAAUUUUCAUAAAGAGUGCUACUUCAACAUAGACGGGGUUUUAAAGCAAUACUUGUAAUACAGCAGAACACAAAAUAACUUUAUUUUACAUAC
Molecule: long non-coding RNA, 5899 nt
Filed under: Erythranthe guttata (spotted monkey flower)
Lineage: Eukaryota; Viridiplantae; Streptophyta; Magnoliopsida; Lamiales; Phrymaceae
Description: long non-coding RNA (EGUT_LNC000049)
Source: RNAcentral